Molecule: long non-coding RNA, 4233 nt
Organism: Synchiropus splendidus (mandarinfish)
Lineage: Eukaryota; Metazoa; Chordata; Actinopteri; Syngnathiformes; Callionymidae
Exons: 3
Source: RefSeq, a predicted model, not a curated record
UUAGUUUGAACUUGUGCGCACGUGCUGACAAAAUGGAGUGGAUGUACUGACCUAAUAUGGUGAACCGGGCAUCAGUGACGUAAAAAAUGAUGUAAGUGCUGACGCAAUUGACACUAAUAUGAUCUAUCACCGAACAUGUAUCCUUUUGAGGGAAGGACUUCAAAAGGCCACCUGGAGAAAAACAAGAUAAGUUAUAGAUAUGACUAAUUGGCUUGGCGUGAGAAAACGGAUGUCGGUAUGUCUUCAAAGCCGUGUGUGGCUAUAUAAGCGCUCGGAGAUGUGACCCUGGGUUCUUGCUCUUUUUGGAUCUUCGCCCGCGUCUGUCCGCCGUAAGUUUUUAUCUUAUCUUGGGACGGUGCUCUUGCUGUUUGCUCUCGGACCAUUUGAUUUAACUCAUCUUUUAUUUCUCUUUUACUAUUUUUGAAUUAAUCCUUUUUAUUGAAGUAUUUUUGAUUAUAUGGUUUUGAAAUAUUUUUAAUUAUACGGUCUUUGAAGUAUUUUUGAUUAUAUGGUUUUGAAGUAUUCUUAAUUAUACGGUUUUUGAAGUGUUUUUGAUUAUAUGGUUUUGAAGUAUUUUUAAUUAUACGGCUUUUGAAGUAUUUUUGAUUAUAUGGUUUUUGAAGUAUAUGUACUAGUACUAGCGUCUGGCGGUACUUUUGAUACUGUUGGGUAUCAGCGUCUGGCGAUACCCUUGAGUUUAUGGAUUUUAUUAUUUUUGGUUGAUUUUGCUGUUUUUACUAUUCUUUUAUUAAUUUUUUGAAGAAACAUUUUUGUGACAAAAAACAAAAUAAAAUUGAGUACGAAUUAAGUACUGAAAAGGCACAACGGCGUUGAUCCCUGACUACUAAAGAAUCAACUGGCUCCUGCCUACUACCAUCAAUUGGGUUAUAGGACCAGCUCUACCACGUCAGGGUCUGGGGCCUCCCCAUGGAAGUCCACCCCCAUCAGUGAGGCCAUUCUGUGCAGCAGACCAGGAAUCUGUUCCAGCUGCUCCCGGGCUGUGCAAACAUGGUGAAAACAGCCAAAUGCGGGAGCAGUACGAUGUGACAUGUUAGUUUUGUAGUGUGCAUUUUGUGUUUAGCGUUUUUAAAAAGUAACUCACGACUAUUCAAAGCCAGGCAACUAGUGUAGAAAUAAUUGAAUGUUUUAACUCUUUAAAAGUUGCACCAAAGGAUAAAAAUAAAUAUCAUAGUUGUUAGGUAUUAUCAGGAUGAAUCAACCUAUUAUGCAUGCAUUACGCAAUUACUCCAGCAUCAUGUGAUGAAUGUAUGAAUUGAGAAUUAUAAAAAAGUAACCCGAGUCGAAAUCGAAAUGCGUUUAAAUAAAAUCUUUCCAUUUGAUAAAGAAAAUGUGAUUGAUUGAUCAUAUUUAUGGUUCACCGCUGGUUUACCCUUUAGGUUUGAACUGAAGAGAUGUAUUGCUUACUUGUAAUCUUACAUGCUGAUGUCCGCACUGCAUUCCAAAGGCCCCUUAGUUUCUAUAUUUAAGCUAAUGCUUUUCCCAAAAUGCACGCGUCUCCUUACUGCAAGAUGGCCUCUCAACAUUCUCGGAUGGCAGGAAUGUGAACUCGCUGUAUAAAGGACACCUCGAAGCAUCAGUCUCCAGUCAGCCUUCGCUUUUGUAAACCAGCGUUGCUUCUGUGAACUCUGACUCCUCAAGUUCACUGAUUUCUCGUCAUUUUAUAAAGAACAACAAGCAGAAAUACCUAACACCAUUUUAAAAAACAGUGUUUCUGUUGUUCAUUUUCACAAAGUAAAGCUUGUGAACAAAUUCAGAUAUUGUAUUUUCAUAUUUUUUUCACAAGUUACAGGUGUAUUCUAAGUUUCAACUGUGUCUCAAAUUUAAAACUUUUUCAGUGUUUUAAAAACAAACAACUGGCAAUCAUUAAACUGGUUGACAUUGUAGGUUCUUGAACCUGUUUUUGUCUUUGUUCGCAAGUUACCAUAAAAGAAUAGUUUUGGUAGGCUGGCUGUUCAUGCUAUAACAUCUAAUCGCAGCACUGAAGCCUGUAAGUACAUUUUUCCUUUUACUUCAAACUUUUCUCCAUCCACUAGAUUCUCAAAUAUCUGUUUCACUGUUAAAAACUUCGAAUUGUCAGUACCAGAAAUUGAAUUGUUUGCAAAAACAACAAAUAAAGUUUUCUUUCAGCACUCACACACACACACACACACACUCGUGCAUCAAAUUUAAGACUUUCCAUUCUCACUAUAAGACAACAAGCCAUUUUAGUAUGUACGAGCGUGUUGGCAUGUUCCCAAUCUUCUUAAUCUUUUCAUUCACCGGAAACUGUCUGCUUACACAAAUUGUAUUAGUAAUCCUGAACUAAAGCCUGACGUUUUUGUACAACUAUCUACGAUAGGAUAAAUAAAUGAAUACUUAUUAGAAACUAGAUAUAGUUUAUUUAAAAUUUUUGACAAACUUCUGUCAUUUGUUCAGCCAUUUCUCAAAUUUGAAAAAAAUAAAAGAUGUAUAACUUUUGAGAUUUUUAUUUUUCGCUACCAGUCACAAACCCCUGCUUUUUUCAUGAAAUAGUCACAAGCGUUUCCAUCGAGCCAUUGUUUUUUUUUUUUUGUGGUUUUUUUUUCCAAGUAAAGCUUUUUACUACUCACUGUCAAUUCUAACUGACAAACAACAAAUCACAGGGUUGACAUUGUACUUUCUGACAUACUUUCAGUUUUUUCAUUUUUAAUUGUCCUAGACCUACAUUUUCUUUACAUAUCUUCAAGCUGAAGAGUAUUUUAUCUUCUAUUUGUUUACAUUCACAAGGUGUACGAAUUGCGUGGAAGCAUUUUUUUUACGCUAGUAGUCUCUCAAUGAGGCACUGAAUCCUGCAGAAGGCUUUUAUUCCUUUUUAUGAACUUGCAUCUACCUAUCCAUCCAUCAGUCAGUUAAGUUUUAAAGUGUAACCGCAUAAGACGGAAUAUGCACAUAGACAAUAUCAGAAAAAAUAAAUAUGAGAAUCUACUUCAAAGAACAACUCUGUUCAUUGAGAAGGGAGAGAACUUCAGCAACAAUGUUUGAUCAAACAAAAACAUGAAGUGGUGAAAGGGCUGGUGCAAUGAUUAAGUGGGGAAAGGGCUGCUUGUCUCACCUUGUGAUAUUCUUCACCCCAAGCUAGUUAUAAGCAUAACAUGUACUCAAGCAAUAAGCAAGCAGUGACUCAGAAGAAUAGUACAACAACUCUCAGUGCACUGUGCUUGGUUUGUUUUGAGAUGCUUUGUCUCCAUCACUUUCAACAAUUUCUUUCACUGAUAACUUCGCUUCAGUUUUGACUCAACUCUUCCACAGCAAAACAUGUUUUGGGGACGUUUAGAAUAGGACAAGGUUUUUAGCAUCAGCUAAAUCACUGGUGCACUUAAGGGGCAAAGAAUUCUUAAAGAGUUCUUAGGUCUUUACAAUAUCUGGUGAUGAAUACCGCUAUACACCAGGGGUGGCCAACUAGUCAGAGGCUAGGAGCUGAAAAAGAGCCACAUCGUACAAAUAUGUAAGUCUGUAGGGCUCACCAGAACAGCUGGUCAGAUGACUUUGCAGCAGUAUAGCAUGUGCUUGUUCAAAAAAAAGUAAUUCCCCCCUUUCGUCAUAUAAAGUUUAUAUGAAAAAGAGAUCAAAUGGAUAUCAAGUGGAUAUGCAGUAGGUCAGGCUGUGGAGUGAGAGAAUUGGAGGGAAGUGUGUGUAUGUGUGUGUCUGUGUGUUCAUGUACUUCAAUCUUUGUGAGUCACAUAUCCCUGGAUGAUGCAUAAAUUUACAUUGUAACAGUGUAUGUCUUCAUUUAAGGACUCAUAAAAGGGGGUCACAAAGAGUUAAGCGUCUGCAGAAGCAGCGCCAGGGAGGACGAGGCGUAACUCACGUCUCUACUGGGUAACGUGUGUAUGUCUUCACAUGAGGAUUCAUGGAAGAGUCCAUAAAGUCUUGGGUGUAGGAGGCAAAGAAUAGCGUAUGAUUCACAACUGGCAUAAAGUGCAUAUAAUCCUGGGAAAUCCUUUGUGCUGACCAUCUUCGACCAGCUCCUACAAGUCACUGUCAGACCUCCGUGUGAACUCGCAGCGUCAGUGACAGCCAAUGAAGGAUUCAAACAUGAGUAAGUGUGUAGGCACCGUUUCGAUGACAUGCAGAUGAACGAUCACAACUGUUUUGGGUUUGAUGGAUAUUAAUCAGCAGCAGGUCAACAAUGCACCUAUGAUUGGUAGGUGUUUUUUUUUAAUUCUGUUUCGAAUUUUAUAUGACUGACGGAGG